RNAcentral lists this ribosomal RNA (483 nucleotides) under uncultured bacterium. Its description in RNAcentral is "SSU rRNA". It matches the Rfam family "Bacterial small subunit ribosomal RNA", at positions 27 to 518 of the family's 1533-position model. The record is from RNAcentral.
GGGACGAACGCUGGCGGCGUGCCUAACACAUGCAAGUCGAACGAGGUCCAACCGGUGGCAACACUGGUGAAGACCGAGUGGCGAACGGGUGAGUAACACGUGAGCAACCUGCCUCGAAGACUGGGAUAAACCCCGGGAAACCGGAGCUAAUACCGGAUACCCCCACCGGGUCGCAUGGCCUGGUGAGGAAAUGGAUUCCGCUUUGAGAGGGGCUCGCGGCCUAUCAGCUUGACGGUGGGGUAAUGGCCUACCAUGGCACCGACGGGUAGCUGGUCUGAGAGGACGAUCAGCCACACUGGGACUGAGACACGGCCCAGACUCCUACGGGAGGCAGCAGUGGGGAAUCUUGCGCAAUGGGCGAAAGCCUGACGCAGCAACGCCGCGUGUGGGACGAAGGCCUUCUGGGUUGUAAACCACUUUCAGCAGGGACGAUUGUGACGGUACCUGCAGAAGAAGCCCCGGCGACUACGUGCCAGCAGCCGC